RNAcentral lists this ribosomal RNA (602 nucleotides) under Bulbothrix mammillaria. Its description in RNAcentral is "eukaryotic LSU rRNA". The stretch from base 230 to 383 matches the Rfam family "5.8S ribosomal RNA". The record is from RNAcentral. Lineage: Eukaryota; Fungi; Ascomycota; Lecanoromycetes; Lecanorales; Parmeliaceae.
UCUUGGUCAAUUAGAGGAAGUAAAAGUCGUAACAAGGUUUCCGUAGGUGAACCUGCGGAAGGAUCAUUACCGAAAAAGGGGGCUUCGCCCCCGGGGGUUCCGACCCCUCCUCCUUCACCCACUGCGUACCUACUAUUGUUGCUUUGGCGGGCCCGCGACCGCGACCCGCCGGAGGCCCUUCUAAACCCUGUUUGAAUAGUGGUGUCUGAGCUGCUUGUUAAUAGAUAAAAACUUUCAACAACGGAUCUCUUGGUUCCAGCAACGAUGAAGAACGCAGCGAAAUGCGAUACGUAAUGUGAAUUGCAGAAUUCAGUGAAUCAUCGAAUCUUUGAACGCAUAUUGCGCCCCUCGGCAUUCCGGGGGGCAUACCUGUUCGAGCGUCAUUACACCCCUCAAGCACCGCUUGGUCUUGGGCGUUCGCCGGUAGGCGUGCCCGAAAAUCAGUGGCGGCCCGGUGCGGCUUCGAGCGUGUUGAAAUGCCCUUUCGCUCUGGAAGCCCGCCCCGUGGCCUGCCGUUUAUAUCCACCACGGAUCUCGUUUAAUUGACCUCGGAUCAGGUAGGGAUACCCGCUGAACUUAAGCAUAUCAAAAAGCGGGAGGAA